GAAAUGCGAUAAGUAAUGUGAAUUGCAGAAUUCCGUGAAUCAUCGAAUCUUUGAACGCACAUUGCGCCCUCUGGUAUUCCGGGGGGCAUGCCUGUCCGAGCGGCAUUGCGAACCCCUCAAGCACGGCUUGUGUGAUGGGCCCUCCCGCGUCUUGGUCGUCAAGACGGGCCCGAAAUGCAGUGGCGGCUUCGCGGUUAUCCGAUCAGCCAGAGCGUAUGGGGACUUUCUCUCUGUCACACGCCCGCGGCGCGGACCGACGCCUGUCGACCUUCAUUCAUCGUUUUCUCGGUUGACCUCGGAUCAGGUAGGGAUACCCGCUGAACUUACGC
RNAcentral lists this unclassified non-coding RNA (329 nucleotides) under plant metagenome. Its description in RNAcentral is "partial contains 5.8S ribosomal RNA, internal transcribed spacer 2, and large subunit ribosomal RNA". The stretch from base 1 to 105 matches the Rfam family "5.8S ribosomal RNA", at positions 50 to 154 of the family's 154-position model. The record is from RNAcentral.